AAAACCCUGCAGUGUUCGGUGAGAUCAAAUAAUUACCUUUCGCUAAUGAUUCGUUAAGCGGGAAUUCGGAUCGUGCAACCGAUGUUGUACCCUCUCGAAGGGUUAACUGAAGUUGCAGUAUGAGUACCCACUAUUAAAAAUGACGAGAAAAGGUAAUAAUCUAUCGGCACAAGGCAGGGUUUUU
Molecule: small RNA, 184 nt
Filed under: bacterium
Lineage: Bacteria
Description: 6S RNA
Source: RNAcentral